UGGUGGAGUGAUUUGUCUGGUUAAUUCCGUUAACGAACGAGACCUCGACCUGCUAAAUAGUUCGGCGAACUCUUCGGGGUUCGUACAAACUUCUUAGAGGGACUAUCGCGCGUAGUAGCCGAUGGAAGUUCGAGGCAAUAACA
Molecule: ribosomal RNA, 143 nt
Filed under: uncultured eukaryote
Lineage: Eukaryota
Description: partial 18S ribosomal RNA
Rfam family: Eukaryotic small subunit ribosomal RNA
Source: RNAcentral